GUUGAAUAGAUUAUUAUUCCGUAGACAGUAGGUGCUUUAGGCGUAACAUGAUACCUACCGAGGAUUCUAAUAAAUGCGAAUUUAUUGGUCUCUUCGUGUGCCUGCGGAGAGACCUUAAUUUUUUUAAUA
This is a non-coding RNA of Clostridium sp. BL8, 129 nucleotides long. The record is from Rfam. Lineage: Bacteria; Bacillati; Bacillota; Clostridia; Eubacteriales; Clostridiaceae.